RNAcentral lists this ribosomal RNA (525 nucleotides) under Nocardiopsis dassonvillei subsp. dassonvillei. RNAcentral's name for it is "bacterial SSU rRNA". It matches the Rfam family "Bacterial small subunit ribosomal RNA", at positions 94 to 620 of the family's 1533-position model. The record is from RNAcentral. Lineage: Bacteria; Bacillati; Actinomycetota; Actinomycetes; Streptosporangiales; Nocardiopsidaceae.
AGCGGCGAACGGGUGAGUAACACGUGAGCAACCUGCCCCUGACUCUGGGAUAAGCGGUGGAAACGCCGUCUAAUACCGGAUACGACCCGCCACCUCAUGGUGGAGGGUGGAAAGUUUUUCGGUCAGGGAUGGGCUCGCGGCCUAUCAGCUUGUUGGUGGGGUAACGGCCUACCAAGGCGAUUACGGGUAGCCGGCCUGAGAGGGCGACCGGCCACACUGGGACUGAGACACGGCCCAGACUCCUGCGGGAGGCAGCAGUGGGGAAUAUUGCGCAAUGGGCGAAAGCCUGACGCAGCGACGCCGCGUGGGGGAUGACGGCCUUCGGGUUGUAAACCUCUUUUACCACCAACGCAGGCUUCCAGUUCUCUGGAGGUUGACGGUAGGUGGGGAAUAAGGACCGGCUAACUACGUGCCAGCAGCCGCGGUAAUACGUAGGGUCCGAGCGUUGUCCGGAAUUAUUGGGCGUAAAGAGCUCGUAGGCGGCGUGUCGCGUCUGCUGUGAAAGACCGGGGCUUAACUCCGGUU